UAUGACAGAUUAUAUGUGAUGGGUUUAAACUCCAUUUAUAAAGGAAUAUCCUUUUUUUAGAA
RNAcentral lists this transfer RNA (62 nucleotides) under Idaea sp. ja001. RNAcentral describes it as "tRNA-Leu". The record is from RNAcentral. Lineage: Eukaryota; Metazoa; Arthropoda; Insecta; Lepidoptera; Geometridae.